RNAcentral lists this ribosomal RNA (745 nucleotides) under Bifidobacterium pseudolongum. RNAcentral's name for it is "bacterial SSU rRNA". It matches the Rfam family "Bacterial small subunit ribosomal RNA", at positions 704 to 1451 of the family's 1533-position model. Lineage: Bacteria; Bacillati; Actinomycetota; Actinomycetes; Bifidobacteriales; Bifidobacteriaceae. The record is from RNAcentral.
GAACACCAAUGGCGAAGGCAGGUCUCUGGGCCGUUACUCACGCUGAGGAGCGAAAGCGUGGGGAGCGAACAGGAUUAGAUACCCUGGUAGUCCACGCUGUAAACGGUGGAUGCUCGAUGCGGGGUUAUUUCUCGGAUCCUGUGUCGGAGCUAACGCGUUAAGCAUCCCCCCUGGCCGACUCGGAUCCCAAGGUUAAAGAUCAAAGAAAUUCACGGGGGCCGGCGCACGCGCGGGACCGUUUAUUAAUCGAUAGCACGCGAAGAACCUUACCCUGGCUUAUCAUGUGCCGGACGCCCGCGGAGACGGGGUUCCCUUUGGGGCCGGUUCACAGAUGGUGCCAAUGGUCGUCCCCUGCCGUCGUGAGAUGUUGGGUUAAGUCCCGCAACGUCCCCACCCCCCGCGGGGUUUUCCCAUCGGGCAUGCCCGCAACUUACGUUGGUCCCCCGGGGUUAACUCGGAGGAAGGUGGGGAUGACGUCAGAUCAUCAUGCCCCUUACGUCCAGGGCUUCACGCAUGCUACAAUGGCCGGUACAACGGGGUGCGACACGGUGACGUGGGGCGGAUCCCUGAAAACCGGUCUCAGUUCGGAUCGCAGUCUGCAACUCGACUGCGUGAAGGUGGAGUCGCUAGUAAUCGCGGAUCAGCAACGCCGCGGUGAAUGCGUUCCCGGGCCUUGUACACACCGCCCGUCAAGUCAUGAAAGUGGGCAGCACCCGAAGACGGUGGCCUAACCCUUGUGGGGGGA